CACGAUUUGGCCGAGUGGUUAAGGCGAUUGACUCGGACUAAGGAAUCUUUUGCUAUAAGAAAAAUAUUCUUAUAAGAAAUCUUGUUCUUAGGGAAUCAAUUUCAUUCAUGAGCGCAUUCGAAUCAUGCAGCUGUCG
This 136-nucleotide transfer RNA is filed under the name Penicillium salamii. Its description in RNAcentral is "tRNA-Pro". The record is from RNAcentral. Lineage: Eukaryota; Fungi; Ascomycota; Eurotiomycetes; Eurotiales; Aspergillaceae.